GAUGAACGCUGGCGGCGUGCUUAACACAUGCAAGUCGAACGGAAAGGCCCAAGCUUGCUGGGGUACUCGAUUGGCGAACGGGUGAGUAACACGUGGGUGAUCUGCCCUACACUUCGGGAUAAGCCUGCGAAACUGGGUCUAAGACCGGAUAGGACAACACCUUGGAGGGUGAGGUGGAAAGUUUUUCGGCUUGGGAUAAGCUCGCGGCCUAUCAGCUUGUUGGUGGGGUACUGGCCUACCAAGGCGUCGACGGGUAGCCGGCCGGAGAGGGUGUACGGCGACAUUGGGCCUGCGAUAGGGCCCAGACUCGUACGGGAGGCAGCAGUCGCGAAUAUUGCACAAUGAGCGCACGUGUGAUGAAGCGACGUCGCGUGGGGGAUGACGGCCUUCGGGUUGUAAACUCCUUUCGCUAGGGACGAAGCGCAAGUGACGGUACCUGGAGAAGAAGCACCGGCUAACUACGUG
RNAcentral lists this ribosomal RNA (465 nucleotides) under uncultured bacterium. RNAcentral's name for it is "partial 16S ribosomal RNA". It matches the Rfam family "Bacterial small subunit ribosomal RNA", at positions 28 to 507 of the family's 1533-position model. The record is from RNAcentral.